GGACUACCAGGGUAUCUAAUCCUGUUUGCUCCCCACGCUUUCGUGCAUGAGCGUCAGUUUUGACCCAGGGGGCUGCCUUCGCCAUCGGUGUUCCUCCACAUCUCUACGCAUUUCACUGCUACACGUGGAAUUCUACCCCCCUCUGCCAAACUCUAGCCUCGCAGUCUCCAUCGCCAUUCCCAGGUUAAGCCCGGGGAUUUCACGACAGACUUACGAAACCGCCUGCGCACGCUUUACGCCCAGUAAUUCCGAUUAACGCUUGCACCCUACGUAUUACCGCGGCUGCUGGCAC
RNAcentral lists this ribosomal RNA (292 nucleotides) under uncultured bacterium. Its description in RNAcentral is "partial 16S ribosomal RNA". RNAcentral also lists the same sequence under 1 other name. The record is from RNAcentral.